CCUACGGGUGGCAGCAGUGGGGAAUAUUGGACAAUGGGGGGAACCCUGAUCCAGCCAUGCCGCGUGUGUGAAGAAGGCCCUCGGGUUGUAAAGCACUUUCAGUGAGGAAGAACGCCUGGUGGUUAAUACCCAUCAGGAAAGACAUCACUCACAGAAGAAGCACCGGCUAACUCCGUGCCAGCAGCCGCGGUAAUACGGAGGGUGCGAGCGUUAAUCGGAAUUACUGGGCGUAAAGCGCGCGUAGGUGGCUUGAUAAGCCGGUUGUGAAAGCCCCGGGCUCAACCUGGGAACGGCAUCCGGAACUGUCAAGCUAGAGUGCAGGAGAGGAAGGUAGAAUUCCCGGUGUAGCGGUGAAAUGCGUAGAGAUCGGGAGGAAUACCAGUGGCGAAGGCGGCUUUCUGGACUGACACUGACACUGAGGUGCGAAAGCGUGGGUAGCAAACAGGAUUAGAUACCCGUGUAGUC
Molecule: ribosomal RNA, 465 nt
Filed under: Vreelandella stevensii
Lineage: Bacteria; Pseudomonadati; Pseudomonadota; Gammaproteobacteria; Oceanospirillales; Halomonadaceae
Description: partial 16S ribosomal RNA
Rfam family: Bacterial small subunit ribosomal RNA
Source: RNAcentral